RNAcentral lists this long non-coding RNA (1213 nucleotides) under Mus musculus (house mouse). RNAcentral's name for it is "distal-less homeobox 6, opposite strand 1". The record is from RNAcentral. Lineage: Eukaryota; Metazoa; Chordata; Mammalia; Rodentia; Muridae.
ACUUCUGUUUCAAAGAUGGACUGGGGAAAGACAUUAAGUUUGGAGCAGCUCAGUGCUACGGAUCUAGCCUCUCUCCCUCGGGUCUCCAGACUCACUUGGUCCAAGCUGCGGAGCAGGGACAGCGGAGCUCAGGCGGCCACGUUCAGGCCCAGCCACCAGAACCAGAGAGAAACCUACGCCCAGAAGAACAUGUCCCUGGAUUGCUUUCCCACUGCUGUGGAGUGUCUUGAACACUGGUCCCUGGACACCAACUUCAAGAAGACUUCAUGGAUGGCUGUCCAGUCUUAUGAGCCACAGUUUCCCCUCUACAUUUUCUUCACUCCAGCGAGGCUCUUAUCAGGGUCAGAUCAGAGAUGAACCAGCUGGACGACAGAUUGGAGCGCUGACCUCUUAGAGUGCUAACAGUGAACAGUGUGGGGUCAGAUCUAUAGAAAGAUAAUAAUAAGAAAACACCCUAUAUGCAAGGGAGAGGGAUGGUUCAUAAUUUCUUAAAGAUUGAAAUCAAGGAACAAUCAAAAUAUAGAAGAAUGUGGACGUGUUUUGCUGCAGGACUUCUGUUUUGUCCCCAUUGGAAUAUGUAUUAUGGUAUUCCUGUUGGAUCAGGACUCAGGGGCAAGGCUAAGCAUUCCAGUGGUCCUCCUACUUAGCUCUUGUCCUUUCGUAAGAAACACCAACUCAUUAGUCUCUAUAUUACUUCUCUGUACUGUAGAUCUGCAUUCUUGAUCUGAGAGAUAUUGGCAAUGACACUCUUGUAUGAUAAAGCUCAAUGAUAAGAGUACUUCAAACCCCCUUGAACUUUUUGUUUAUACAUCAAGUGGUGACAUUGUGUAUUGAGCUAAUUAGAUCAAUGGAGUCACAGGGUGAUACUGAACUCUUUUAAAAUAUUUGGCUGAAACAUGACAUUGUAGUUAUUUGUAGAAGAGAACAUUAUGGAAUAUGAAAAACAUCACAGAACACAGAACUAGCAGCAGAAACUAGCAGCAGUUCAGUCGAGGAAUAGCUUCCUCCAGGUGGUCUAUACCUAUCGCCAGUUUACAGAAAAAGGAAGCCAGGUGGAUGGAAAACGUGUGCCAAGUUUCUGUGCUUACAAUCCACUAAACUCAUUCUCAUAUGAGGACUUUAUAUACCUGUGAUGGAGUGGGAAAAUCAAUAACCUGGAAAAAAUGAGUACCAUUUUCCAAAGAAGUUCAAUAAAGAGAUGGAAUUUGGGAAA